UAACGAAUAUUGGGCAAUGGGCGCAAGCCUGACCCAGCAAUGCCGCGUGCAGGAGGAAGCCCUUCGGGGUGUAAACUGCUGUCAGGGGUUCGCAAGCGAAGGGGCCUAAUACGUCCCUGAGUUGAGCCGCCCCAGAGGAAGCCUCGACUAACUCUGUGCCAGCAGUCGCGGUAAGACAGAGGAGGCAAGCGUUGUUCGGAAUCACUGGGCUUAAAGCGGGUGUAGGCGGCUGCGCAAGUGUCCUGUGAAAUCCCACGGCUCAACCGUGGAACUGCAGGGCAAACUGCGUGGCUUGAGGUCGGUAGAGGUGCCUGGAACUCUAGGUGGAGCGGUGAAAUGCGUAGAUAUCUAGAGGAACGCCGGAGGCGAAAGCGGGGCACUGGGCCGAUUCUGACGCUGAGACCCGAAAGCGUGGGGAGCAAACA
This 425-nucleotide ribosomal RNA is filed under the name uncultured prokaryote. RNAcentral describes it as "bacterial SSU rRNA". It matches the Rfam family "Bacterial small subunit ribosomal RNA", at positions 355 to 774 of the family's 1533-position model. The record is from RNAcentral.